UUCUUCUGUUACCAGCACACUGUAUUCCUCAAAGAAACAAAAAGGAAAGUUAAUGCUAUAGAACUAACAAUUGAUCUGAUGGUCAUUGCUAUACUGCACAAGUUGAGGGAAGAAUAUCAUCUGAUUCACAUGAAAAAUAGACCAACUUAAAAUACAUUGGAACACACCUGUAGAGUGGCAGUAACAACAUAUUUUGGAAGCUUCCUGUUAAUUAUGAAAAUAACAUAAAUUCCAGUCCUAGAAGCAUGUAAAGCAUGCUAAUAUAUAGCUAGCUGAUACAUCAGAAUGCACCCAAAAACUCACCAAAUAUCUUUCAUAAGCAGUUCUAUGGGGUUAUCUAUCAGACCACUAACGGAAACAGAAUAUCUUUCUAUAUCAUCAACAACUGGUAUGGGUCCAUGAUUUCUCUUGUAGAAGAAAUCCACUGGCGUUACAUAAGAGCUAACCAAGGCCGAACGAGGUGGCUCAGCAUUAAAAGGUUGCUUGGAAUUGAUUUUGAGGGAAGGGUGACGAGGAGGUUCCUGCGAAUAAUCCGAGGGUCCUCUAAUUCCAGGCAUUCGUCAAAAGCUUAUCUUCAAAUUGCAAAAUAGGAAAAUCAUUCACAGAGACAAAGAGAAAGUGUUAUGGGUUUGCUAAAUUCUUGACGACAAUGGUGAAACUGUGUGAGUAGGAGGUGAAAACCUUAAUUAUCUCUAGGUGUCUGUAACGAUUCCUGAUAACUAUUCACAGCCGAAUCAAGCACCGUUCAUCUACAGCGGAUUUGGGAUCACUAGUCACUAUAUGGCGAGGAGACCUAAGUUGGUAGUGACGACAAAUAUUAUUGUUCUGUUAGGGUGGAAUUAGUGGCGUGAUGUGAUGGGCUUGUUGGGAUUGGUGGUAAGUGCUAACUGCUAAGUGGUCAAACUCCUUUGUGCCUGUGGGAGUGAUGCCUUAUAGGUAUAAUCGUUAACGACCUCCAUCAAAUGUUUCCGCCAAAAAGACCAACCUUCUUUCCAAAACGCUACCUUUACUCGGGCUGCGCUUCCCCCCCUCGCGCACCAAAAUCAGCAUUGCCACAUCUCUCUCUCCUUGCAGACAAAUGUAUCUCAAUGACCCAACUCAAGCAAAUUCAUGCUCAAAUGAUUGUCACCUCUCGCAUUUCUGACCACUUCGCCGCAAGCCGUUUACUUUCCUUUUGCGCUCUUUCCGAUUCCGGGGAUAUCAAUUAUGCCAUAAAACUAUUCAAUAUCACUCAAGAUCCAAAUAUCUUCAUGUGGAAUACUCUCAUUAGAGCGCUAGCGAAUAGCCCAAAUCCCAGUAGAGCUGUGUUUCUUUAUAUACAGAUGAGGAGACAAGGUGUUUGUCCAAAUAACCACACCUUCCCUUUUCUUCUCAAGGGUUGUUGCAGCUCUUGCUUACCUGAAUCUUGCAUGCAGGUGCAUACCCAUGUUUUGAAAUUUGGCUUGGAGCUUGAUUUGCAUGUUGUUAAUGGGUUAGUGAGAGGUUACUGUGUUUCGAGUCAUUUGAGUAGUGCGCGCAGGUUAUUCGAUGAAUUUUCUGAGAGGGAUUUAAGCAUUUGGACCACGAUGAUUACUGGCUAUGCUCAAAAUUUUUGCGCUAUUGAAGCUUUAGUGUUGUUUGAUCGGAUGCUUGUUGAGGGUUUUGAACCGAAUGGUUCGACCGUUGCUUCUGUGUUGUCUGCAUGUGCUCGUUCAGGUUGCCUAGAAUUGGGAGAGAGAAUUCAUGCCUUUAUGCUAGAGAGAGGUGUUCAAAUGGGAGUGAUAUUAGGUACUGCAUUGGUGCAUAUGUAUGCGAAGAAUGGAGCAAUCUCUAUGGCUACAAAAUUGUUUGAUUCCAUGCCUGAAAGAAACAUUGCUACUUGGAAUGCGAUGUUAUGUGGAUUGGCCAGUCAUGGGCAUGCUGAAGAAGUACUUGCGCUUUUUAGGAAGCUAGAGAAAGAGGAUUUAGUACCAAAUGAUGUGACUUUUGUUGGGGUUUUGUCUGCCUGCUGCCACGCAGGCUUAAUUGACGUUGGUUACAAGAUCUUCAAUUCCAUGAAGGAGGUGUAUGGCAUUGAACCCAAGAUUGAACAUUAUGGAUGCAUGGUGGAUCUUCUGGGGCGAGGUGGGAAAUUAGUUGAGGCUGAGGAGUUGAUAAAAAGAAUGGCAUGGAAGGCUGAUGUUGUGAUUUUGGGAGCCUUGUUAGCUGCUUGUAAAAAUCAGGGGAACAUUGAGAUUGCUGAAAGAGUGGUGAAAGAUAUUCUAGCCUUGGAACCUCAUAAUCAUAUGGUCCAUGUUGUUUUGUCCAAUAUGUUUGCAGAGGCUGGAAGGUGGCAGGAUGUAUGGAGGCUUAGGAAGGUCAUGAAAGUAGGGAAUUUGAAGAAAACACCUGGGUGGAGCCUUGUGGAUGGUGAUAAGUAAUUGUAUAUGUACAAGAUAGCCAGCAUUGUUACUCCAUGAAGAAAGUUUCAUUAGGAAUCAGUACGGAAAGGUGGGCAUGAUCAAGGGCGUGUGAUUCACAGUGUUGUGGGUCCCUUUUCAGCCAGCCAAUUAUGAAAAGUCUGGUGGGACACUGGAUAUUAUAGACUUAAUGGAACAUUAAUUCUUUCAAUUUUGGAACUUUUUGUGUACUACAAGAAAAGCUUUAGUCUAUCAUGAUUUGGUACCAGAAUGAUUGGCUUCGGCGGCAUUGUCAACUUCUUACCAUGGUCUAUGGACACCGAUAAAAAGGAAAGGGCACAAAAAGGCUUAUGAUUUUUGGAGGGUAUGCAUCUCCUCACAAGUACUUACAAAUAACCAAGGGAGAAAUAGUGCAUUAGAGGGAGAAUAUGGUCAAAGGAACUCUGUGGUUUAAAGUUAGUUUUGAGAGUUCUGGAGAUGUACAGAAUGGUUUCGGUUGUACAUAUAUAAAUAGAGAGAGAGAGAGAGAG
This 2908-nucleotide unclassified non-coding RNA is filed under the name Hevea brasiliensis (rubber tree). The record is from RNAcentral. Lineage: Eukaryota; Viridiplantae; Streptophyta; Magnoliopsida; Malpighiales; Euphorbiaceae.